GUCCACUCCUGGCUCUGCUGCCUCGGUACUGGGCUUCUCAUGGCCUCCGUCCUGGCCCCCAUGCAGGUUAGACAAUAUGGAGGACUUGGCCAUUGGCCACUUGAGCCCACCAUCAUGGGAUGACCUCACACCUGUUGAAAGGAUUGAUGAGAUCACCUUUACUGCACCUUUGUUCCAGAAACCACUCCAACUCGAUAGAUAGCCAAGCGCACCCCCUAGCUCACUGAGACGAUGAACAGCAGCAGGGAAAUUGUUGAAGCACAUGGACACGGAGACCAGGCCUGCAGGAUCCCUGAGCAGAAAAAACCAGUUAGGCCUCUGAGUGACCUUAACCUUGCUUAAUUGGGAAAUGUAAACAAAACUUAACUUGAGUCGUUUCUGGUAAAUACUCAAUGUUAGAUAGAAACAGUACCUAACCUCAGCCAAUCCUAGGCAGCCCAUGAACAGGAGAUCCUGUGACUUGGAAUUUCAACCAUGUAAAUAAACCAAAAGAAGGCA
Marmota monax (woodchuck) is the source of this 498-nucleotide long non-coding RNA. RefSeq lists it as uncharacterized. The record is from RefSeq and is a predicted model, not a curated record. The transcript is spliced from 2 exons. Lineage: Eukaryota; Metazoa; Chordata; Mammalia; Rodentia; Sciuridae.